This 253-nucleotide ribosomal RNA is filed under the name uncultured bacterium. Its description in RNAcentral is "partial 16S ribosomal RNA". It matches the Rfam family "Bacterial small subunit ribosomal RNA", at positions 524 to 776 of the family's 1533-position model. The record is from RNAcentral.
UACGUAGGGUGCGAGCGUUAAUCGGAAUUACUGGGCGUAAAGCGUGCGCAGGCGGUUUUGUAAGCCAGAUGUGAAAUCCCCGGGCUUAACCUGGGAAUGGCAUUUGGGACUGCAAGGCUGGAGUGUGGCAGAGGAGGCUGGAAUUCCCGGUGUAGCAGUGAAAUGCGUAGAUAUCGGGAGGAAUACCGAUGGCGAAGGCAGGUCUCUGGGCUGACACUGACGCUCAUGCACGAAAGCGUGGGGAGCAAACAGG